AUGGCGGCGGCGGCGGCGGAGGAGGAGGGGGAAGAAAACCUGAUGCCGCAAGAGGAGGGGAUGGUGGCGCUGCGUAGUCAGGAGGGCGUGGAUUUCGUGGUUCCCUCAGAGGAGGCGAGGCUGUCCAUGUUCUUACAUCGUAGGAUCGAGCUUGACCCCGACAACUACUUCGUCCCCGCCGACGGCGACGAGACCAAGUACACCCCCAUCUUGCUCCGCUCCAUCCGAGCCGAGGUCCUAUCCAAGGUUUUGGAGUACUGCAAACAGUCCUAUGCCUCCUGCCGCUGGGACGGCGCCCACCAUCUCAACCACAAUGAGACGCUCUAUGAUCUCAUCCUGGCUUCGGACUAUCUUGAAGUCCAUCGACUCCUUGACCUAUCGUGCCAGACCCUUGCCAAUAAGAUCAAGGGGAAGUCACCCCGUGAGAUAGGUAAUAUCCUCAACAUCACGGGUGUCUUUGCUCCCGAAUUAAAUGAAGAGCAUUCAAGUAGGUGUUGCACUACCAACAUGGUUACAGCGGCCAUGGAAGUCAUCUCCAAGAAGAAGCCAUCUGUGAACCAAGAGCUCAAAUUGGCGGAGAAGGCGUUGCAGGCUCUUGACGUAGUUCGUCGCCAAGAGUUCACCGCAUACGACCCCGUGCUCAGGCGUCUUAAACGCAAUCGAGUUGACAUCUUCAACCUAGCCUUCUUUGACAUUUAUAAAGAGAGUGAGUAUUUUGCUAGCUUUUCUCGUGGUCCACAACUUCACAAGAUAACACCAAUGCAUGAGUCAGUUGUGCGAUCUUGUGUCAAUGUAAUUUACAUUAAGGUACGCGAAUCGGACGUCGGCUUUCCAAUCAACAUAUUUGGUACCAUUAUUGCAAGGGAUCAAGUCGACUAUAGAUGUGUCUAUCUGUUUAGGCGUGAAAUGGAUGAUCCCCAAUUCAUCAGCUCGGCGGAUGAUAUGUUAUCUUUAAUGGAUCCAUGCCGAGGGCUUGUUCCGGAAGAUAAAGUUUAUUUUGAGGUCGAUUUAAAGAUCAAGUGUGAUGGAGGCAUGAUUAAAGAUUUUAGCAAAGGUGUGGGAGUUUUUGAUUGGAUCCGGCUCUAUCCAGGCAAGGAGAGAUUGACUUUCGGUGUAUAUAGUCAUAUAAGCACCGUGGAAUUUUUAUGUGAGCAAGUUUACAGUCCCGUGGAAGCUACCAUUGCAAUCAAUAUUUUGAAAGGGUCGUGCAGUAUCUCAAGAGUAGUUGCUUCGACUCCUGGAAACUUUAAGGACCAUAUCAUUCUAUACGAAGCAGCAUGCAGCCCGAUAGUAAUCGAAAGUGGUGGCUCUGUUCCUUUAACUCGUCGCGUGGUAGCUGUCUCACUGGAUCACAAGUUGGCGCUCUUCAUUGUUGGUGGUGACGUGCUUGAACACCUUGCCCUCACUCUAGGUCAUUCUCAUGAAGUGGUCAAUCGGAGGAUGGGUUGCGCCGAAUUGGAGGUGAAAGUUGCUUGGACAUCCGUCCCGGUAAGAGAGAGACCUGAUAUGUUUAAGGUUGUCGGAAAUACGCGGCUCUUGUUGUGA
Molecule: ribosomal RNA, 1545 nt
Filed under: Triticum aestivum (bread wheat)
Lineage: Eukaryota; Viridiplantae; Streptophyta; Magnoliopsida; Poales; Poaceae
Description: partial small subunit ribosomal RNA
Source: RNAcentral